GGCCGCGAAUUCGCCCUUAGGGUUUGAUUAUGGCUCAGAACGAACGCUGGCGGCAGGCUUAACACAUGCAAGUCGAGCGCCCCGCAAGGGGAGCGGCAGACGGGUGAGUAACGCGUGGGAACGUACCAUUUGCUACGGAAUAACUCAGGGAAACUUGUGCUAAUACCGUAUGAGCCCUUCGGGGGAAAGAUUUAUCGGCAAAUGAUCGGCCCGCGUUGGAUUAGCUAGUUGGUGGGGUAAAGGCCUACCAAGGCGACGAUCCAUAGCUGGUCUGAGAGGAUGAUCAGCCACACUGGGACUGAGACACGGCCCAGACUCCUACGGGAGGCAGCAGUGGGGAAUAUUGGACAAUGGGCGCAAGCCUGAUCCAGCCAUGCCGCGUGAGUGAUGAAGGCCCUAGGGUUGUAAAGCUCUUUCACCGGUGAAGAUAAUGACGGUAACCGGAGAAGAAGCCCCGGCUAACUUCGUGCCAGCAGCCGCGGUAAUACGAAGGGGGCUAGCGUUGUUCGGAUUUACUGGGCGUAAAGCGCACGUA
This 535-nucleotide ribosomal RNA is filed under the name uncultured bacterium. RNAcentral describes it as "partial 16S ribosomal RNA". It matches the Rfam family "Bacterial small subunit ribosomal RNA", at positions 1 to 573 of the family's 1533-position model. The record is from RNAcentral.